UUUUAAAAUACCCACAUCAACAAAAUAUUCUGGUAUUUGGAAAAGUUGGAAUUUAGUUAAUGUGAUUUCAAAUUCCUGCAAGUUCAUAGCUCAUCAUUGCACAGAGACGAAUGAACCAGAAGUCAUGGUAGACAUUCUGAUGGUCGUGUGGUCACUGCUGUACUCUCUGGUCUACGAGGCCUGGGAGGUGUUGCUCGUCCUAGUGGUGAUGACCAGCCUCAGCCAGGCCUACUACAACUACGUCCACUGCUGCUACGAGAAGAGAAAGAGGCACCAUAAGCCGUGCAGCUGUUCCGACAGCUGCAGCAGUGAAUCGUCCUCGUCCUCUGAAGAGCACUCACAUUCCCUUGACAAAUGACCGCCUGAUAUUGACCUGCGCUGCAGUAGUGGGCUUUGCACAGAUGACUAUAUCAAUAGCGACAACUCCUUUAGAGCCUUGCUGUAACAGAAUUUUUCAGUUCCAAACAUUCACAUCUUAAUUUUUGAUGAUCAUUUCUUUACUUUGCCAUCAUAUAUAUACUAGCUAUGUUUUGACCCGGCUUUGCUCAGGUUGUUUUUUUUUUUUUAUAUAAUAAAAGACAUCUAUGUUUUUGCAAUAGUUAAAAUCUGUGUCAAGAUGCAUCAUUGACCUAAAUCCAGUAAACUUUCCUGCAGUUCAGCAGCUUAACAUGUCCUAAGAUCACCGCUAUUAUCUAAGGAACGUUCAAACCAAGUUUCAUAUAGAUUGGACAGUUUUGAUUUUUAUAAAAAACAUACAUAUAUACAUUCUCCUAACAUUUUACUCUAUAUAUUAGACUAUUUACAAUCUUGAAUUGGCUAAGAAGGAUACGAUGUGCUAUUUUAGAAACACUGGUUUACAGUAGUAAAGUUUUCAUUUGUAUUGUUUGCUAUAUUAUAAAAUUUUACCUUAAGACAUAUCGGUUGACCGUUAUUGUCAAUUAACUUACUUAAUUCCACAAUGUCACUAAUGUCGAUGUUUGAUAUUCCAUUUUCUUAUGUCAUAUAAUGCGUUGACCCAUUUAAUUUAGACAAAAUAACCAAUCAUUUGUAUAUUUGAACUAUUUCAUUUCUGUUCAGGCCCCCCUUUUUUGUUUUUAGGCCUUUUCUUUCUUUUAAGGCCCUUCACCUCCAUUCUGUUUGAGACUCUGGUUUCUGAGGCCUUAAUUGUGUCUGCAUUCUCUUAUUAGGAAUGUGUUAUCAAGUAGGUCCUAUUGUUUUUUAGACCCUUUCUUGUUAAGCCUCUAGUAUCUGGUAGACUCUCUCAUAUUAUUUUUUAUUCUUUUUAAUUCUGUCACCAUUACUUUCUUUUAGCCCCUUUCUCGAUAGGCCCUUCAUUCUCUUUAAGGUCGGAUUUUAAGCCUUCCUUUUCCUUUCGGGCAAUUAUUUACUCUUUUUUUUUAAACACAACAUUAAGCUUUUAUUUUCUGUUAAGCCUGCUUUCUGGGUCUCUUUUAGCCCCUUUUUUUCAUUUUCUUUUUAAGCUAUCAUUUACUUUUCAAAGCCCGAACACCACCAAAGACCACCAAAGACCACCAAAGACCACCAAAGACCACCAAGUUCCGUUUCUUUCAAUGUAUGUCUCCAAGAUUAAAUUGAUAAACUCAGCGACAGAGCUUGUCAUCUAGUGUAGCCUACUGCUUGCUUGGACACUUACUCGUGUCUAACCAGAUUCUAGAAGUCAUGACUUAAUGUUGCUAAAAGGAUAUAGAAGACCUUGUGUAACAUAAAGAAACAUUAGUUCAAUGUCUGUGACUUUAUUCAUUGAAGAUUUAAGAAUUAAAAGUGUCAUCCUCAUUUACAAUGCAA
Molecule: long non-coding RNA, 1806 nt
Organism: Biomphalaria glabrata
Lineage: Eukaryota; Metazoa; Mollusca; Gastropoda; Planorbidae
Exons: 2
Source: RefSeq, a predicted model, not a curated record